This 400-nucleotide ribosomal RNA is filed under the name uncultured bacterium. RNAcentral's name for it is "bacterial SSU rRNA". It matches the Rfam family "Bacterial small subunit ribosomal RNA", at positions 362 to 776 of the family's 1533-position model. The record is from RNAcentral.
UAUUGGGCAAUGGGCGCAAGCCUGACCCAGCAACGCCGCGUGAAGGAAGAAGGCCCUCGGGUUGUAAACUUCUUUUAUCAAGGACGAAACAAAUGACGGUACUUGAUGAAUAAGCCCCGGCUAAAUACGUGCACGCAGCCGCGGUAAUACGUAGGUGGCAGGCGUUAUCCGGAUUUACUGGGUGUAAAGGGCGUGUAGGCGGGACUGCAAGUCAGAUGUGAAAACCAUGGGCUCAACCCAUGGCCUGCAUUUGAAACUGUAGUUCUUGAGUGUUGGAGAGGCAGGCGGAAUUCCGUGUGUAGCGGUGAAAUGCGUAGAUAUACGGAGGAACACCAGUGGCGAAGGCGGCCUGCUGGACAAUAACUGACGCUGAGGCGCGAAAGCGUGGGGAGCAAACAGG